CGGAAAACAUACAAGAUUUCCUGAAAAAAGAAUAAUAAGACAUGAAGUGGAUGUGCCUUUCCAUAAAUCAAUAAUUGACUGGAAUAAGAAUAUCUAGAUAUUUUGAAAUUGCUAUUUGGAUCUAAGUGAUCAUCGAGCCGACCUAGCUCAGUUGGUAGAGCGCGUGGCUUUUAACCACGUGGUCGAGGGUUCGAGUCCCUCGGUCGGCGAUAAUCGUCAAACAUUCGUCGGUGACAUACGCUUAAGGCCCAUCGUCGCUGGAAGCUGUGACCGCCGAUGAUGGUUUUGAAAUUUGCUCUACGACAAGAACACAGCACAUAAACUUCAAAAAAGUGAUUAAUUAGACUAACUGGUGCUUCCCAUGAUACUCGUUUAUUGCCAUGCUCAAUUAAGGGACAAAUGUUUUUUCCAUCCACAGCAUGCUCAGUCUUGUUGACUGAUGUCAAUUUGACUGGAAAGUCGGGAAUUAUGAAUCAUGACUUAACAGAUCAUGAAUCAUGCAUGACGCACAGACUGUGCACUACACCAGAAUGACCUCGGCACUUCUCACCAUACCAAGAAUCCAGUAUGGUCAUCUCGUAUUGUUCGGUCACUGCUCAGUCUCCAGAUCAUUCCAUUACUUUCCAUCUUUGUAUUGUGAAUUCUGUGGAUCAUGCUUUGCCGGAGGCCCAAACCCGACUACUUGUCUCAACAAAGAAACUCAUUGACAAGGAAAUGCAGUAUGUUGGACAAGUUCUUGCCCCCUUCAGAAACAUAUCCAGGAUCACUUGCGAUCAGAUAUAUAACUCUCAAGACAGUGGAAAUAGCAUGGUUCUCCAUUCAUCUGUCCAAACAUUCCUGCCAGUAGAAUGAACUCAAACCUCCCAGCAAUGUAUGGAUGUCAGGAUUCGAAUUGUUCAAUCACAACAUCCUACCUCUCGAGAGAACCUGUGGACAGGUCCAGCGCCGGAGAUCGUCCAAGAAUCCGUGGUAGGCGACAUACAGCUCGACGCAGUCGUGCAAUCACAGACUAGCCUUUUCUAAUACUCCAAGAUACUAGCUGUGUCCACGUCAAAUUAUCCGAGCUGCAAACACUGAGCCUUGUUCCGCACAAG
This 1094-nucleotide long non-coding RNA is filed under the name Physcomitrium patens. RNAcentral's name for it is "long non-coding RNA (PPAT_LNC013820)". The stretch from base 137 to 209 matches the Rfam family "tRNA". Lineage: Eukaryota; Viridiplantae; Streptophyta; Bryopsida; Funariales; Funariaceae. The record is from RNAcentral.